Molecule: unclassified non-coding RNA, 410 nt
Filed under: Hevea brasiliensis (rubber tree)
Lineage: Eukaryota; Viridiplantae; Streptophyta; Magnoliopsida; Malpighiales; Euphorbiaceae
Source: RNAcentral
GCAGCUUGAAUUUCAUAGAAAUGACUAAAAGAGAAGGAUGAAACAAGGCCCUCAUCUUACUGCAAUGUGAAUUUUAUGGUUUAAGAACUUCAAUAUACAAGAUUUUAUUUACACGUGAAUUGUCUUCAAUCAUGAACAUGGAAACCUAGAAAAAUGGCCAAUGAAAAACACCAUAAUUACCAUGGUUUAUAAUCCAACAAUAACUGCAUCCUUAUUAGCUCAUUUCGAAAGUUCAUAUUAGGCAUAAAUUAAUAAAAAAAACCUGGCCUACAAUUCCCGAUUUUUCACAUAAUACAGCAGUCCUUUGUGAGAAAUUUUCAUCACCGUCACGAACGAAUAGUAAAAAAAAAAAUCCAUACCAUAUUAAAUUCUGCUGAUAAAGACUAUAUUGAGCAUUAUAGAGGAAUUUU